RNAcentral lists this long non-coding RNA (860 nucleotides) under Manihot esculenta (cassava). Its description in RNAcentral is "long non-coding RNA (MESC_LNC000148)". The record is from RNAcentral. Lineage: Eukaryota; Viridiplantae; Streptophyta; Magnoliopsida; Malpighiales; Euphorbiaceae.
GGACUCGGUAAAACGCCUUACACACAUCAUAAAUACGGGAAAUAUUCCCUUUGCCAGAAUACAGAAAUUCCAAAUACUCCAUUAAUUCUUUAACAAAUUCACAGUGAUUAAUAAGACUAAUCACCUCACUAUGAAUAGAAUUUCGAAUUUGCAGAAACAAACGAGCAUCAUCCCUCAUCCAAUCUCUACGAGUUUCAUCAGUUGGAGGAUCCUUGGUAAGAUGAUCAUCCAUUGCAAUACUUCGUAAAUAAAUACGGAUAGUCUUACUCCAAUCUAAAAAAUUAGAUCCAUUUAAUUUGUGUUCCGUGAUUUUAGUCAUCACAGGAAUCACAUCAGUUACGGUGGUUUUAACUUCAGCCAUCAAAACAACCAACCCAAAACAAUCAAAAUAGCAAAGGAUCAGAAGAACAGUACCCGUGAACAGUACCGAUGAACAGUACCCGUGAAUAGUACCGAUGAACAGUACCGCGAACAGUGCCGAUAAACAGUGCCGUGAACAGUGCCGAUAAACAGUGCCGAUGAACAGUACCGUGAACAGUGCCGAUGAAGAGAUCCAAAUGUUACCCUUUAUGGAUAACUCAAAUGAACGGAGCCCUAAGUCUCCAAAAAAAAUUUUAAAACUUGACGAGAGAGGAGGAAAAAAAAAUCUCUAUGAGAAAGGCUCUGAUACCAUGUAGAAAGAUAAUAUUUGUUGUAUUUCACAAUAGAGAUUACAACCUAUUUAUACAUGAGAGACGGUAUCUAAACAGGAAGAAAAAUCAAGCCUAUGAUUAUGCAAUCCCUAAAAUUAAGUAACUAACCCAUCUAUCAAUAUUUACUUCCUAUAUUAACAUAUUUACUUCCUAUAACCUAUAACACAC